CCCUCAAAAGUCUCUCUCGAUCUCUGCACUCUCUCUCUCUCUCUCCAUCUCUCUCGCUCCGUCUCUCUCGCUCCAUCUCUCUCUAGCCCUGCGCUCUCUGCUCCUCUCUCUCCAGCCGAGACUUCUCCUUCCCAAGACGACGAUGAACGUCAAGGCGACCCUCCUGCUCGCCGUGCUGUGCCUGGCUCUGUUCCACGAGACGUGUGCUGCCCCUAAGCCCAGGCCCAUGCAAGGCCGCCUGGUCCGCCGGCCCCACGGACCCAGGCCAGACGGUGGCGACCCCCGAACAGGAGGCCUCAUGCGGGGCCACUACCUCAGGAGGCGGCGCCCUGCAGUGGCGUACAAAGUCCCCAUCGCUUGAUGAGCCGUCAACCCCUCCACGGCCUCUCCCUCUCUGUCUCUGGCCGUCUCAUCGUCACCACGGCGAGGGCCGUGACCCACGUGACCCACGUGCGACACGAGACCCACGUGACCCACGUGCGAUACGUGACCCACGUGCGACACGUGACCUGCCCACCAACUCAACUGCCCACCUGCCUACCUACCUACUCACCUGCCCACCUACCCGUCGUCGUCGUCAUCACCUGACCGCGCAUCAGUCGCGGUACCUACAGCCGUACCCCGCCUAGGUCGACUCAGCCUCAAAUGAGUACCUGGUGGAUUGGUGUGUAGUAAACAACGCCAGUGGGGAGACAAAAGGCAGCGGGGCGUGGUGCUGGUCACCCCCCCCCCCCUCGUAUGCGCCUGCACAGUCACCCUAGCCUGAUGAUUGGUAAACUGCGCAUUAACCUGGUCUUCUGCGUAAGAACAUGGAUUUCUGGUCACCUAUCCUAGCCAUUCACACGUUUGGCUGGUUCACUGAUUACUGGAUUAUCUCGUUAUGUGGUUACCUGGCUAUUUUGUUGACCUGUUUACCCGGCUAUCAUAUUAAUUGGUCAUCUUGUUACCUGGUUGUUUCGUUACACAGUUACCCAACUACCUUACUAACUAGUUACUCUGGUACGUAGCUAUUGAGUUACCCGACUACUUGACUAUCCAGUUACCUGUUGAACUCACUCCCUGACCAUUCAUCUAUAAACUAUUUUUUUUACCAGCUAAGGCCCCACUGAGCCGCUCUGUCGCUUCUGGCCAUCACAAACGAUAGCAGCUCAACUGAGUUGGCGGCUUAUCAUCAUCAUCACCAUCACGUGGGAACUAUAACAAUAGAUUCCAUUGUUACUGGUGUGGCUGUAGCGGCCCCUAGUGGCUGCGGAUGUCACUGCGAAACUCUUAACACCGCGUACGAGGUAUGCAUGAGACCGUUCGGACCCAGCGGGUUGAAGUCAACGUUGAUCUUGAUUUGAAGCUUUCGUGACUGCAGGAAUCCAUACUCUUUGGUUCUUUCGGUAAAGUCACGUAGUAUAUUUUAUGUAUAACUACGUGACUUUACCGAAAGAACCAAAGAGUAUCAACGUUGAUUUUUUAUUCACACUCUCCGUGGCGGCCGUCUGGUACAAAUCUCAGAAUGUUGAUUUUAAAAUGCAGGAGUUAGGAGGAAUCCGAUGAGCUAGGAAGCUCUUGAUUUGUCCACAGAUGCCCCAGUAUGGGGCACAGAGGCCAUCGAGUUCCAAAAAACACAACAAACACAACACAUGUGAGGGAGCACGCCGCGAUAGGAGUGCAACAUAGAUAACACGGUAAGCGAGUCAGUAAAUAUCAAUAACUCAAUUAUAUAUAAGUCCGAUUUAUCGAGAUUGGGCAAGGCAUAAAAAAACAACAACACAAAUCUACCACACAAAGCGCCAUCAUCAUCACAUCGAUACUCAAAACUAAAACCACACACAAUUCUAUAGUACAAUGAGAUAACAUAAUAUUAAUAUAUUACUUAAUAAUAUAUAUAUACACAACCUCUUAAUCGCUGCGUAUAAGAGAGGCGCAUUGGCGACUCCUAUCUAUGAGUCUCUCGGCAGGGUUCGAUUUUUCGCCCAGGCGGCUACCUAGCGGGCAUUGUUACCACUUGUCGGCAUUGAUUGAUGUGGCACGGCAUCAUCAUCAACAAUAUCAACAACAAUGCAAUGCGGUGUGUGCAAGUCCUUCAAGGUCCCUCGGUUUGGUAGCUGUACGACUUUAACCGCUGACCAGCAGCAGCAGCAACAGCAGUAAACCCCACUGCCCUGAGAUCAAGAAACAAAAUCGAGAUGGAGUGAACCGGAGGACUCGUCGUGACUAUCGAUGGUCGACUGACACUGCUAGUGAGACUAGGCCAUAAAGAUGUCUGCUGUCUCUGGUAUAGGCCAAUCGGUUUCAAGGACAAUGCAUCAUACGAUCAAUGUGUUUUUUGUUUCCAUUCUGACCACAAGUAUUGUCGUUAAUGCAGACACGAUUCCUUGAGAAAGGUUUAAGUUUGGUGUUUUAACAACUCAACACAGCUGUUUUGUUGCCAGAACAAAUGGGAAAACCUCUUCUCAUUAUCGGAGCAUGUGUGUUUGCAUGUUUUUCCCGCAAAUGUGUGGUUAUUGCAGACUUGAUGAUGCCUUGCAAAAGGCAGAAUCUAUUCGGUGUUUGAACAUCUUAACACAACUCCUGUGUUAUUAUGGCCAGAAAGGUUAAAUACAACCUUUUGUUAUUUCUCCAUCGUUGUCGACUCGUCAUCACAUCCGAAAUGGGGGUAUUACCUCCUGGACCAGACAAAUGAAAAAUAACACACUCAACAUUCACAACAAACUAAAGCGUAAAACGAGUCUAACGGCGUACACGCGUAUCAAAUCUACACCCGUAUCUCAUAACAACAAUAUAAAUUAUAAAUAAUCAACUUUAUUUUUGCAUAUACUCAUGUUCGGAUUACCCCCCCCACCCCCACCGUAUAUAUGGAACUAUUUUAAUGGUCCUAUCGAUGGACUUGUGCCCCAGUCACGACCGAAGACAAUGCAUAAUCAGGAUACACACUGUGAUAUUAUUUAACAUUAAUUUGCACUUUUCUCCUUUUGAAAUGGUUUAUAUACUGUAUACUCUUUGGUUCUUUCGGUAAAGUCACGGGGAUAUAAAUAAAAUAAAUCAUAUGUAUGUUACGUACACUUUCGUUACGCCAUCGCUCACCGUGUGCUCUUUAACAGAAAUAAAGACUUCGAUUGGAA
Molecule: long non-coding RNA, 3113 nt
Organism: Lethenteron reissneri (Far Eastern brook lamprey)
Lineage: Eukaryota; Metazoa; Chordata; Hyperoartia; Petromyzontiformes; Petromyzontidae
Source: RefSeq, a predicted model, not a curated record